Molecule: non-coding RNA, 290 nt
Organism: Pogona vitticeps (central bearded dragon)
Lineage: Eukaryota; Metazoa; Chordata; Lepidosauria; Squamata; Agamidae
Source: RefSeq, a predicted model, not a curated record
ACAGCUUGUCCGUGUUCAGCUCUACGAUUUUGAUAAUUUGUCCAGGGAGCCGUAUACUCAAAUGCUCUUUCCUACAUGGUCGGCGAAGCUACACUAGCUAGUGGCAAAAACGAGAUGCUACCUUGAUGCUCCACAGGGCCCAGAAUCCUGGCCAAAGAUUGGGGUCCCUGAUCUCUUGAGAAGAAGCUGUUGAGAUUCCUGCUUUUUGAUUUUGGGUUUCAUCCUAACGGACAUCCAUGGUGAGCUGAAGAGGUGUUCUAGAUCAUCUGCUGAUGAACCUCCAAGACAGG